ACUCAUACCUUUCUCGGCCUUUUGGCUAAGAUCAAGUGUAGUAUCUGUUCUUAUCAGUUUAAUAUCUGAUAUGUGGUCCAUCGGGCCACACGAUAUUAACUUUAUUUUUUGAGGGAGAAAGUCCAUUAAGGUAGCUUGCUAUCUGGGGUUUCAAGAGUUGCCUGGGUUGCACUACAGCAAUGGGCCGGCUCAUCCCGCCAAAACAAGUCCAAUAUUUUCUUUUUAAAUCAUCUCUUUUGGGCUUUGGAACUUAACCGUCAAAAUUCGAAAUCAGUGGGAACAACCUUUUUAAUUGAAUCAAAAUCUAUAUUUGAACCGAAACCAAACCGGCAAAAAUUAGUAUGCAAACCGAACCAUCGUUGUAUAAACGUUCUGUAUGAAAUAAAAUGUGGGAACAAAAAUUUCCGGGAAAAUUGAGGGAUAGAGAUGGGGAAGGCGAUAGGAUUGCUGCUAAGCGGGACGCUUGUUUAUCACCAUUACUGUGCUAAUCGAAACGCGACUCUUCUCUCCCUCUUCUCCGAUGUUCUUAUCAUUCCUCGCCAACUCAAUGUCUCGGUACCUGUGGAUCCAUUGGAGUGCCAAAUAUCACACGUUACAGCCUGUAAUAUCGUUGCAUCGCUUAGCUAAUACUGUCGGAGCAGCUGAAUCCGUUCUGCGAGUUGCAGCAACGGGCCAUGACGAGAGGCAAUUUGCUAAGGCUAGUUCACAGUCUCUCUGUUAUUACUUUAGCAGAGAUAGUUCUGUUAGAUCACCUGUGUUUAUCCGAAGGCAACAGUAGCAUUUACUAUGUUUAAGACCAUUCACUACCAUUCUGCAGAAUCCUGACCAUUGUGUGUAUUUUACCCAAUAACCAGACAGACGACGAUCUUUCAGGUUCUAAGCUGCAUUUGUGUGAACUACGGAUGUUUCUUUCUUCUCAGGUCUUUACUUCUUGGCAGCUCUGGGUGGGACGAAUAAUAUCAGGACUAUGUUUGUUCUGUCUCUACAUGCUCUAAAAGAAUUCUCAAGCUACCGGAAACUCUGUACCAAGACGAACAAACCGAGAGAUUUUGGAAUGAGAAAGUACCUUUAGAGUUCUGCUUAACGUCUGACCGCCAAUCACAAUCUCUCUAAAGCUGUUCUCUUCUUUUUUUUUUUUUUUUGGCAACCUUCCCAAUUCCCAUGUUCAUAUAGCUAUUGAUAGGUGUAGUUUCUAAAUGUAAAC
This is a long non-coding RNA of Raphanus sativus (radish), 1204 nucleotides long. RefSeq lists it as uncharacterized. The record is from RefSeq and is a predicted model, not a curated record. The transcript has 3 exons. Lineage: Eukaryota; Viridiplantae; Streptophyta; Magnoliopsida; Brassicales; Brassicaceae.